CCUACGGGAGGCAGCAGUGGGGAAUCUUGGACAAUGGGCGCAACCCUGAUCCAGCCAUGCCGCGUGAGUGAUGAAGGCCUUAGGGUCGUAAAGCUCUUUCGCCAGAGAAGAUAAUGACAGUAUCAGGUAAAGAAACCCCGGCUAACUCCGUGCCAGCAGCCGCGGUAAUACGGAGGGGGUUAGCGUUGUUCGGAAUUACUGGGCGUAAAGCGCACGUAGGCGGAUCAGAAAGUAUAGGGUGAAAUCCCAGGGCUCAACCCUGGAACUGCCUUGUAAACUCCCGGUCUUGAGUUCGAGAGAGGUGAGUGGAAUUCCGAGUGUAGAGGUGAAAUUCGUAGAUAUUCGGAGGAACACCAGUGGCGAAGGCGGCUCACUGGCUCGAUACUGACGCUGAGGUGCGAAAGUGUGGGGAGCAAACAGGAUUAGAUACCCUGGUAGUCCACACCGUAAACGAUGAAUGCCAGACGUCGGCAAGCAUGCUAUGUCUGGUGUCACACCUAACGGAUUAAGC
This 511-nucleotide ribosomal RNA is filed under the name uncultured marine bacterium. RNAcentral's name for it is "bacterial SSU rRNA". It matches the Rfam family "Bacterial small subunit ribosomal RNA", at positions 338 to 865 of the family's 1533-position model. The record is from RNAcentral.